UUAAAAAAGUAAAUAAAAUACAAGGGAAAUAACUGAACGUCUUACCAGUAUUAUCCGUACUACUUUGUUUAUAAAUAAAUCACGUGAUUUGAUUGACGUUAACUGUUUAUAUAUAAAUCACACACGUGAUUGAAUAUCAUAGUUUCUUAUGAGACAUUGAAAAUGCCUCGUGGAAGACCGGCUGCACAACAUCUAACCCUAACCCUAAACUUCUAUAAAAAAAAAUUCCGUCGCAUGCUGUUUUAGAGAAAAAGUAGUACGGAUAAUACUGGUUCUGUCUUUUGUUUGGAUUUUGUGGUGUCUGAUGCAGUCUGUGGAUUUUCUCGUGUUGCCACUGGAAGCAAAUCACCCCAUUUACAACAAGAUGCACAUUUAUAAGCUUCCCUGAAAGUAAAAGAAUUUUAUUAUUAAAGCAUAAGAAAAAGAAGUUUAAAAUAAGAUUGUGUAAAAAAAAAAAAAAAAAAGAAAAUUACAGGUGUACAGACACCUUAACGAUCAUUGAAGAAAUUAAUAAUGUUAUGUCAUAUUGGUUCUAAAUUUUGGUAAAAGGCCAGCAAUUUCGAGGGAUUACAUCAACCUCAGCAUGCAACUGGUACUUAUUUUAUUGAACCUGAAAAGAUGAAAAGCAAAGGUGACCUUGGCAGAAUUUGAACUGAGAAUGUAAAGACAAAUGAAAUGCUUCUAAGAAUUUCACCCAGAGUGCUAAUGAUUCUGCCAGUUCACCACCUUAAAAGAUAUACUAAUAAGAACAUGUCAUUUUGGUGUAUUACGCUUUUGAAAACAAUCACAAGGCUUAUGUUUUUUGUUCAUACCAUCCUGUUCUGUAAUUCAUAACAAUAAAAUAGACAGGAAUCUUGAAACAUGGAACUCAGAGCAGUAAUAAAAUUGCUUUUAUCUGCAAAACUAAUAAAUUGUUCCAACACCAAAGUUUUAGAUGUGUUGAGUGAAAAUUGUUCAACUCUUCAGAAUUUAUUGAAAUUUCAGAAUUUGAACAAAUAUAAUCAAGAUGGGCAAAAUUUUACAAUGGCACAAUAUGAAUAAUUCCAAAACUUGGCACAUAGCCACACAUUUUAGGAGACAUGGUCCCUUCAAUAUAAUCAACUUGAUUAUUCCAAAAAAUAAAAUCCAAGUUCAUUCUUGGAAUGAUUGAACUAAAGGGACAGAACAACAGGCAUUUUGUCUAACUGAUUCUGUUGUCAUUCACUGUUGUCAAUGGCAACAUAAUGAUUUCAGAUAUCUUGGAACAAAAUAACCAUUUCAAAUUUCAAGCACAAUGCCAGCAAAAUUUAGGGGACCCUGAAAGGAUGAAAGGCAAAGUGGAUCUCAGCAGCAUUUGAACUCAGAAUGUAAAAAGAAGCAAAAUGCCAGUAAGCAUUUUGUCCAACUAACGAUUCUGCCAGCUUGCCAUUUUAUCUAGGAACAUCAUGAAAAAGAGACUUCAGUUGAGGACUUCCUAAACUAAUAGAUGAAUAUAAUUUUUACCACUUUAAAUGAUGACUGUGAAAUCAUUCAACUGAAAUCUCUCUGCUCUCCAACCAGCCCCAAUGAAGGUAGGUAUUUGUGCCCACAACUACAUGGGUGUUUAAAAAAACAUUAGUGAAACACACUGUACAUACUGAUACCAAGUCAUAUUUGGUUGUGAGAGACAAACACAUAUAUUAAAUCAAUGACUUACUUUCCAUGUUUCUUCACUGUAAGGAAAGAAUGUUCAAUUUCUCCAUUUGGACAACAAGUUUUUAAAUGUAUAUGUUUUGAAUGUUUACGAGGGGUCUGUAGAACUCGAGGCCAGUUGGUACCUAAAACUUGAAGAACAACAAAAAUAGAACCUGAAUUAAUUAGAAAAAUUACCUCAAGUAAGCUAAUAAAUUCUCUUUUUUUCUGAGCACA
Long non-coding RNA from Octopus bimaculoides (California two-spot octopus), 1887 nucleotides. RefSeq lists it as uncharacterized. Lineage: Eukaryota; Metazoa; Mollusca; Cephalopoda; Octopoda; Octopodidae. The record is from RefSeq and is a predicted model, not a curated record.